This 1051-nucleotide long non-coding RNA is filed under the name Homo sapiens (human). RNAcentral describes it as "HSALNT0318096". The record is from RNAcentral. Lineage: Eukaryota; Metazoa; Chordata; Mammalia; Primates; Hominidae.
UAGCCUCAGCAGAGCCUGAGCCAGCCCUGGUGUGACGGGAUAGUUGUGGAGGCAACUCCGGGGCCUUGGCUGGGAUGGCCCAGGGGCUCUGCCUGGGAACUAUCCACCCUAAGCAGCAUGCUCCUGGUAAUGUGGAGUCUGAGUGACUGAGACACAGCUGCCCAGGGCGAUGGGAGGGGCAUGCUGGCUUAGACCAGACCUGGAUCUCAUCUGGGGACCGAAGGCUGCAGGAGCCCCAGGAGGGCUGUGAUGUCCUGGAAGCUUUUAAACUGGGAUCAGAACGGAGGAGGUUAGAAAGGAGAGGAAUUGCUUGCAGAGCUCCCCAGGUGCAGAGGCCUUCCUGUUCCUGGUAUUUCCACACUGGAGUCAGCACCUUCUGCCCAAAGCCCUUUCUAUCCUUAUAAGCCCGGCCUCCUCUCUGUUCCACAAAUCUUGCUAGAGACUGGCUUCCCUGGACAGCGUUCCUUCCCACGGCAACACCACCUUGAUCCCCAGCAGGCCGCUCCGGCUGGGCCCUGUGACAAAGGAAUUCAUAAAAUAGGAGGAAGAUAAACUUGAUACCACGCAGGUUACUUUGGUUCUCCAAAUGAAGAAAUGUGAAAAUGUAAAAGUCGGGUGACAGAUACAGUGGCCUUUUGUGGGAAGACAGAGAUGUAAUUCUCAGCACACCUAAAUCGAUCACCUCGGAAAAUACGUUCAGACUCAGCGGCGAUCUGCCGGCGCAGGGACGCGAGCUGUGGGAAGGUUUUUGAGAGUAGAUUACCGGGACCGCUGGGAUGGAUAACUUUAAGCUGCCUCCCAUCAUAUGUUGAUACUUAUUGCACUGUGUUUUCUAGGAAACACCAGGCAAGCAAAGAGAGGUAAAAACACUUAAAUGCUCGAAGAAAGUAAGUCAGAAAAUAACAUCUGUAGAUACAGGAGAGCCUGGGCUUUGAAGACGUGCAUUUGAAUUUUGAAUCGGCUACUUUCUGAAAGACUCGUUUUUGUUUUUGUUUGGUUUUUUGUUUGUUUGUUUUUUCACUUUAAGUUCUGGGAUACAUGUGCAGAACGU